This is a non-coding RNA of Meleagris gallopavo (turkey), 2700 nucleotides long. The record is from RefSeq and is a predicted model, not a curated record. Lineage: Eukaryota; Metazoa; Chordata; Aves; Galliformes; Phasianidae.
UAGCCCAGUUCCCUUCUUCCCCAUUCCAGAAUUUAGAAGUUGUCACAACUCUCGGUGUUGGUGGGUUCGGAAGGGUUGAGCUUGUUAAGGUAAAAAUGAGAACAUGGCAUUUGCUAUGAAGUGUAUAAAGAAGAAACAUGUAGUGGACACCAAACAACAAGAGCAUAUAUAUUCUGAAAAGAAAAUCCUUGAGCAGAUAUGUUCUCCUUUCAUUGUAAAACUGUAUCGCACAUUUAAGGAUAGUAAGUACGUGUACAUGCUGCUGGAGGCUUGCCUUGGUGGGGAGUUGUGGAGCUUGCUGAGAGACAGAGGCAGCUUUGAUGAACCCACUACAAAGUUCUGUGUUGGAUGUGUGACAGAGGCUUUGGACUAUCUACAUCACAUAGGAAUUGUCUACAGAGACUUGAAGCCAGAAAACUUAAUUUUGGAUGCUGAAGGAUAUAUAAAAUUGGUUGAUUUUGGAUUUGCAAAAAAGAUCGGAUCAGGGCAGAAAACCUGGACGUUCUGUGGAACCCCUGAGUAUGUUGCUCCAGAAGUCAUUCUGAGUAAGGGCCAUGACUUCAGUGUGGAUUUUUGGUCCCUUGGGAUUCUUGUGUAUGAGCUCCUUACUGGCAGCCCACCAUUCUCUGGGGCUGAUCAGAUGACAACAUAUAAUUUGAUUCUAAAAGGCAUUGAAAAACUGGAUUUUCCUAGAACAAUAACAAGGCGGCCUGAGGAUUUGAUCCGCAGACUCUGCAGGCAGAACCCGACAGAAAGAUUAGGCAAUCUGAGGAAUGGGAUUAAUGACAUUAAGAAGCACAGGUGGUUGAAUGGUUUUAACUGGGAUGGUCUGAAAUUGAGGAAAUUAGCAUCACCUUUAAAAAGAGAGUUAUCCGGACCAACUGAUUACAGCUACUUUGACAGCUAUCCACCUGAAGAGGGAAUGCCUCCAGAUGAACUUUCUGGCUGGGACAAGGAUUUCUGAUAGUUUUUUCUUCCAGGACAUCUAUAGAGACUCAUGGGCAUCAGUUCUAAACCUGUUCUUGUGUUUCUUGCUUAAAACCAAAGUACAUGAUGUUAUUGAAAAAUGUUAUGUUCCCUGGGGAAUAGAAGACGGUACAGCAACCAGAACUUGUCUGGAUAUUGCACCAAAUUCUGUGUGCAUCUCCUUAUAACAAAAGCAUGCAGAUGCAACCUGAAUAUUUUUUGAUAUGCAAUAUCUCCAUGAGCAUUUUCUGACACUAUGGAUGGGAUGCAUGGUUUUGCCAUUGGGAAUUUCACUAGCACAUAUUUUGAUAUCAACAAGGCUACCACAUGUCUUUAUUUUGAACAGAGAGAAUGAAGAUUAUGGGCCCAUACCAUUAUGGGAUUUGUCAAUACCUGACACUACAGGCAUUUAUUUUUCAUUUUAUAAUGAGUCUACUGUGUGUUUUGCUCUUUCCAGUAAUGGGCAGUUCUGCAUUGAUCCAGAAGCAUGUAGAAGACUUCUUCUACAAGACUGAUUUGACUUGAUGCUGCAGCUUAAAGGGUAUCAGCGUGGAAACCGCCUCUCUAUCAGUUUAGUUCUGCACCAGGUUGAGUUUGUGAAACAGGGUACAACAGGUCAAAUGGAAAUCCAGCAGGGAACUAGGUAUUUUGCUGUAAUUAUGAAAUUUGCUGAAACAUCGAUGCUAAAACUCAUACUCAUUUUGAUGUUCCACUUGCUAUCACUGGAUACGGAUACAUGUGGGUGGUAGGCAUAAAUGAAAAAAGGACAGCUGCUGACUUGGUAUUUCCCAGUGAACUAGUAUCCCAGAUGAGUUUUACAAUCUCCUUGCAGGUUUUUCAGGACAUGAUCAGGCAGAGACAUGAGCAACUCAAUUUGGACUCAGUGUUGACCCUUCUCUGAGUUGGAAUGGAGACCUCCCAUGAUCCUGUGAUCCCAGGAAUUAAUUUUAACAGUCAGCUACUUGCAUCAUUACAAUAUAUCAUGACACUUUUCCCCAUAUGAGUUUGUAGAUGCUUAAUUUUUGUCACUUAACAUCUCUAUUAUUAGAACAGAAGAAUUCUUUUGAAAUGUUGAUUGGAUGAUAAAUGCAGUUGGGUGUCGAGUGCUCAUGAAUUAAACAUAGAACUCUCUUGCGUCCUGCUAUGAGGGCAUGGCACCUUCCUGGGAAUCAUGCUGGUAUUCUUGCAUCAAUGCGUCUGUAGCCUCUGAUAGAAAUUGGUUCAGUUCCCAACCUAAAUUAAGAUAUUUAAACUGCCAUGGCACACUGCAUUUCAUGUGCUGGAUGGAAAACCUCCCAGGAAACUUGUGAAGUGUGCUAAGGGCUUCUUAACUGACAAUGGCUGACGGUUAUGACCUAUCCAACUGCGCGAGGAAGGGUCUGCCAUUUAGGCUGUCCAUUUUCCCUAUUUUUGAUGAAUGAAAGGAUCAGACCUUCCACUUCUGAGGUCAGUGUCAAGCUACUGCUUGCCCUUAGAUAGAGUGUAAGAAGCUGGGGCUGUAUUUGAUGUGGAACAUGUGCUUUGGUUUUUGAGGGGGAAUUGCUCUUCACUGAACCUCUGCCUGAUGAGCUGUUGAAUGUGCAGUAGUAGAACAUUUAUUUGGCUGUUUUAGGCAGAAAUCUAAAAAAAUGUUUUAAUUAAAAAUUGUAGGAAACAAGGAAAUCCUUGAACUGAUGUAUUAAGUGUGUAGGCUAAUUGAUUUGUUCCAUGUUAACAAAUGUUUCUUAUUGCUGA